This 345-nucleotide unclassified non-coding RNA is filed under the name soil metagenome. RNAcentral describes it as "partial contains 5.8S ribosomal RNA, internal transcribed spacer 2, and large subunit ribosomal RNA". The stretch from base 1 to 120 matches the Rfam family "5.8S ribosomal RNA", at positions 35 to 154 of the family's 154-position model. The record is from RNAcentral.
GAUGAAGAACGCAGCGAAAUGCGAUAAGUAAUGUGAAUUGCAGAAUUCAGUGAAUCAUCGAAUCUUUGAACGCACAUUGCGCCCCCUGGUAUUCCGGGGGGCAUGCCUGUCCGAGCGUCAUUGCUGCCCUCAAGCACGGCUUGUGUGUUGGGCCUCCGUCCUCCUCCCGGGGGACGGGCCCGAAAGGCAGCGGCGGCACCGCGUCCGGUCCUCGAGCGUAUGGGGCUUCGUCACCCGCUCUUGUAGGCCCGGCCGGCGCUUGCCGACACAUCAAUCUUUUUUCCAGGUUGACCUCGGAUCAGGUAGGGAUACCCGCUGAACUUAAGCAUAUCAAUAAGCGGAGGA